GCGAAAACUUUACAAUGCUGGCAACAGCGAUAAGGGAACCUCGAGUGCCAGGUUACAAAUCUGGCUGUCGAGAUGCCUAAAAAGUAUUUCAUAGCAAGGGCCGGGCAAGCCCGGUGCCAGCCGCCGCGGUAACACCGGCGGCUCGAGUGGUAACCGUUAUUAUUGGGUCUAAAGGGUCUGUAGCCGGCCGGAUAAGUCUCUUGAGAAAUCUGGCAGCUUAACUGUCAGGCUUUCAGGAGAUACUGUCUGGCUCGAGGCCGGGAGAGGUGAGAGGUACUUCAGGGGUAGGGGUGAAAUCUUGUAAUCCUUGAAGGACCACCAGUGGCGAAGGCGUCUCACCAGAACGGACCUGACGGCAAGGGACGAAAGCUAGGGGCACGAACC
This 384-nucleotide ribosomal RNA is filed under the name uncultured prokaryote. RNAcentral's name for it is "bacterial SSU rRNA". It matches the Rfam family "Archaeal small subunit ribosomal RNA", at positions 341 to 725 of the family's 1478-position model. The record is from RNAcentral.